RNAcentral lists this ribosomal RNA (253 nucleotides) under uncultured bacterium. RNAcentral's name for it is "partial 16S ribosomal RNA". It matches the Rfam family "Bacterial small subunit ribosomal RNA", at positions 524 to 776 of the family's 1533-position model. The record is from RNAcentral.
UACGUAGGGUGCAAGCGUUGUCCGGAAUUAUUGGGCGUAAAGGGCUCGUAGGCGGUCCAUCGCGUCGGGUGUGAAAAGCUGGGGCUUAACCCCAGUCCUGCUUCCGAUACGGGUGGACUAGAGGUAGGUAGGGGAGAUCGGAAUUCCUGGUGUAGCGGUGAAAUGCGCAGAUAUCAGGAGGAACACCGGUGGCGAAGGCGGAUCUCUGGGCCUUACCUGACGCUGAGGAGCGAAAGCGUGGGGAGCAAACAGG